AAUCAUUUAGAAUAAAUAAUUAAAAUAAAAUACUAAUAUUAAAUAAAUACAAAAAUAAAAAUUAAAUAAAAUUAAAUAAAACAUUAAGAAAUAUGGAAAAUAUUUUUUGGUAUUUUUAUGAAUAAAGAAAAUAUUUUUAAAUAAUUAAAAUCAAAGCAGAAAAUAAAAUGGGAAUAAAAAGAAAAUAAAAAUGGAAUGGAAUAAUGGUGAUGGGCCUUGAACAGAGGGUGGGAAAAGCAGUAGCGCUGAGGCCCGGUCCAAGUGAUAUUAAAACCCAG
This 278-nucleotide long non-coding RNA is filed under the name Lathyrus oleraceus (garden pea). RNAcentral describes it as "Pisum sativum (pea) long non-coding RNA (PSAT_LNC025679)". Lineage: Eukaryota; Viridiplantae; Streptophyta; Magnoliopsida; Fabales; Fabaceae. The record is from RNAcentral.